RNAcentral lists this long non-coding RNA (1770 nucleotides) under Manduca sexta (tobacco hornworm). RNAcentral's name for it is "uncharacterized LOC119188657". Lineage: Eukaryota; Metazoa; Arthropoda; Insecta; Lepidoptera; Sphingidae. The record is from RNAcentral.
AAUAUCUGGAAUAUAGAACAUUUAUUAAAUCAUAAAUUUAUUACAUCGUUGUCACUAAUUUAGAUACUGCUGUAAAAUCAAUAGAAUGCGAGAAUGGAUUAAUACACUACGAUUUGCGAUACAACGGUUUGCGAGCGACUGCCGGUAACGACUGUCGUGCAAAUUUGAUAUUUCUGUGUUUGUAUUCUGCGUGAAUUAUAUGUAGCGACUACUUUUCUAUACUUUAUGCUCUUAGAAGUGUCUUUGGCAAGCCGGUCUUCUUGUUUACUAUACCACUUUAGCGUUAUCAGAAUAAAAAUGAAAAUCGGUUAGGUAUAAUCAAAGAAUCAAUACCUACAAUUCUUUUUCAUAUUUUUUAUUCCCCGCGGCAUUCCCUGAGUAUGCUAUGACAAAUAUUAAGUCCAAUAUUAUCCCACCUUACGUCCAUCUGCUCCAGCGCCGUCAAGUCUGAAGGUGUAUCCGAACACGCUGGUGGAUAUCUUCGCUUCAUACACGACCAUCCAUCCGGAAUAUCUUCAGUGAUGUUUAUGAUGCCAGUGAGCGUGGAGUCAUAAGUCUUCGUCAUGAUGCUGAGCUCCUGCACUGAUAUGAGGGGCUUCGGGCCAUCGUAACACGGCCCCACACGCGACACCAGCAAAUGCGUCGGCGCCACCGAACUACUCGCUACCAACAAUGGAGAUAUUAAAAUAUAUAUUCCGGAACGCAUAGUGAUUUAGUUAUUACUACUGUAUUCAGAAUAACAUUAUAACAGUCCAGUUUUGUGUGGAUAAAUUAGGAUGAUAUACACAAUACAUGUGAAAUUAAAUUCUCUUUUUUAAAUGUUAAUCUGAUGGUUAUACAUCCCCAUACAAGUAUAUGCAAUUAUGGAGUCAUAAUUAUUACGGUUGAAGUGUUUUUGCUUAUAAUCUAAUUAAAACUCUAAUGAACCGAAUGACUGUGUAAGUAGGUACUUAUAUAAGUCAUGUUAGUGAUGUGUUUGAGGAUGAGAUGAGGUGAGUAACUAUGGUCAAGCAUAUUCCUUGCCUGGUCACGGCCUCUAAUGGUACUUAUAUAACAGAACUCCUUAUGACAAACAGCACGAACAUGUAGAUUGGGCAAUCAAUAGUGCAAAGUGGAUAUAACACUACCUUAAACAGUAGUGUUAUGUUGGGUCUAUUCCUUACUAACAAAAAACAAAAACGGAAGGUUUAAGUUUAUGUCUUUUUUUUAUUUCUGACACUUGAUUUUAAAAGUUUCUAUUUUAUUCCGACAUCCAAAUUAUGUAGAUUUGUUGUUUGUGACUGUACCCUUAUGAAUAUAUCGUUGUAAUAAUAUCUUUUUAAUGUUUUUUUAAUGUCGAAAUCAAACAUUAAUAUUAUGUAAACAUAGCGCAGACGCACAUUACAUUAUCUAAUACAUUAUGGAUAAUAUAACUAUUUUUAUUUAAAUGUUUUGUUUUUAUUAGUUUUAAUUCGUAAGACAAAGACGUUUAUUAUCUUUUAUUAAGACCACCUUUUGACUUUGGGUUCCUGCCUAAAUCUUAUAAAUUUAAGAAGAAAGUGCAGUCUUUAGUCUUUACCACUACCACAGGAGCUUGAAGAAGCGACUGGCCAGUAAUGUCGAAAACAUCAGCCAUGCGACCCGACGCGACGUUGUGGUGCCCGGAAAGAUGGAAAGCGUUGGGCGAUCGCCACGCCGAGUCCCUACCACUAUAUUAUACAAUCAAUCCAAUCUACGACAAUCCCAAUAAAAAAAAAAAAAAAAACUAAAACUCUGCGGUGACGAUCUUCG